Molecule: ribosomal RNA, 442 nt
Filed under: uncultured bacterium
Lineage: Bacteria
Description: partial 16S ribosomal RNA
Rfam family: Bacterial small subunit ribosomal RNA
Source: RNAcentral
CCUACGAGUGGCAGCAGUGGGGAAUAUUGGGCCAUGGGCGCAAGCCUGACCCAGCAACUCCGCGUGAAGGACGACGGCUUUCGGGUUGUAAACUUCUUUUAAGAGGGAAGAGCAGAAGACGGUACCUCUUGAAUAAGAUACGGCUAACUACGUGCCAGCAGCCGCGGUAAUACGUAGGUGGCAAGCGGUGUCCGGAUUUACUGGGUGUAAAGGGCGUGCAGCCGGGAAGACAAGUCAGAUGUGAAAUCCCGCGGCUCAACCGCGGAACUGCAUUGGAAACUGUUUGUCUUGUGUACCGGAGAGGUCAGCGGAAUUCCUGGUGUAGCGGUGAAAUGCGUAGAGAUAAGGAAGAACACCAGUGGCGAAGGCGGAUGACUGGACGGCAACUGACGGUGAGGCGCGAAAGCGUGGGGAGCAAACAGGAUUAGAUACCCGAGUAGUC